RNAcentral lists this ribosomal RNA (516 nucleotides) under Fusarium lateritium. RNAcentral describes it as "eukaryotic LSU rRNA". The stretch from base 152 to 305 matches the Rfam family "5.8S ribosomal RNA". Lineage: Eukaryota; Fungi; Ascomycota; Sordariomycetes; Hypocreales; Nectriaceae. The record is from RNAcentral.
ACGGAGUUAUUCAACUCAUCAACCCUGUGAACAUACCUAAACGUUGCUUCGGCGGGAAUAGACGGCCCCGUGAAACGGGCCGCCCCCGCCAGAGGACCCUUAACUCUGUUUCUAUAAUGUUUCUUCUGAGUAAAACAAGCAAAUAAAUUAAAACUUUCAACAACGGAUCUCUUGGCUCUGGCAUCGAUGAAGAACGCAGCGAAAUGCGAUAAGUAAUGUGAAUUGCAGAAUUCAGUGAAUCAUCGAAUCUUUGAACGCACAUUGCGCCCGCCAGUAUUCUGGCGGGCAUGCCUGUUCGAGCGUCAUUACAACCCUCAGGCCCCCGGGCCUGGCGUUGGGGAUCGGCGGAGCCUCUCUGUGGGCACACGCCGUCCCCCAAAUACAGUGGCGGUCCCGCCGCAGCUUCCAUCGCGUAGUAGCUAACACCUCGCGACUGGAGAGCGGCGCGGCCACGCCGUAAAACACCCAACUCUUCUGAAGUUGACCUCGAAUCAGGUAGGAAUACCCGCUGAACUU